This 494-nucleotide ribosomal RNA is filed under the name uncultured bacterium. Its description in RNAcentral is "bacterial SSU rRNA". It matches the Rfam family "Bacterial small subunit ribosomal RNA", at positions 29 to 512 of the family's 1533-position model. The record is from RNAcentral.
AGUGAACGCUGGCGGCAGGCCUAAUACAUGCAAGUCGAACGGCAGCACAGCAGAGCUUGCUCUGUGGGUGGCGAGUGGCGGACGGGUGAGGAAUACAUGGGAAUCUGCCCAGUCGUGGGGGAUAACGUAUGGAAACGUACGCUAAUACCGCAUGCGCCCUAAGGGGGAAAGCCGGGGACCGCAAGGCCUGGCGCGAUUGGAUGAGCCCAUGUUCGAUUAGCUAGUUGGCGGGGUAAAGGCCCACCAAGGCGACGAUCGAUAGCUGGUCUGAGAGGAUGAUCAGCCACACUGGAACUGAGACACGGUCCAGACUCCUACGGGAGGCAGCAGUAGGGAAUAUUGGACAAUGGGGGCAACCCUGAUCCAGCCAUGCCGCGUAAGUGAAGAAGGCCCUCGGGUUGUAAAGCUCUUUUGUCCGGAAGAAAAGCAAUCGGUUAAUACCCGGUUGUUCUGACGGUACCGGAAGAAUAAGCACCGGCUAACUUCGUGCCAGC